ACAACUUCCGCCCUCCCCCACGCCCCCAAGCCGUUCCCCUGAUCCCAUCCUCCGCCUCGGCGCCUUUGCGGCCGGCACGCAGGCCAGGCAGAUGGACAGCGGCGACGCCGUGGCGCCGCUCGCCGCGUGGGCGUCGAUCCGGGGGUACUUCACCCCGGCGACGCUGUUCCUCGUCGUCAACCUCGUCAUCGGCACCAUCGCGCUCACCUCCCGCGUCACCCAGCAGCGCCGCCGGCGGGGGCAACACUACUACCACGACGACGGCCACGGCCACGGCCACUACCACCUCCAGCAAGAACCGCUGCACUCGCAUCAGCAGCAGCCGGCGU
This 329-nucleotide long non-coding RNA is filed under the name Setaria italica (foxtail millet). RNAcentral describes it as "long non-coding RNA (SITA_LNC001989)". The record is from RNAcentral. Lineage: Eukaryota; Viridiplantae; Streptophyta; Magnoliopsida; Poales; Poaceae.